GGGGGUGCUUACACAUGCAGUCGAACGGUGAAGCAGGAGCUUGCUCUUGUGGAUCAGUGGCGAACGGGUGAGUAACACGUGAGUAACCUGCCCUUGACUCUGGGAUAAGCGUUGGAAACGACGUCUAAUACUGGAUACGAACCUCCANCGCAUGGUGANGGGUUGGAAAGAUUUUUUGGUCAAGGAUGGACUCGCGGCCUAUCAGCUUGUUGGUGAGGUAAUGGCUCACCAAGGCGACGACGGGUAGCCGGCCUGAGAGGGUGACCGGCCACACUGGGACUGAGACACGGCCCAGACUCCUACGGGAGGCAGCAGUGGGGAAUAUUGCACAAUGGGCGCAAGCCUGAUGCAGCAACGCCGCGUGAGGGAUGACGGCCUUCGGGUUGUAAACCUCUUUUAGUAGGGAAGAAGCGAAAGUGACGGUACCUGCAGAAAAAGCACCGGCUAACUACGUGCCAGCAGCCGCGGUAAUACGUAGGGUGCAAGCGUUGUCCGGAAUUAUUGGGCGUAAAGAGCUCGUAGGCGGUUUGUCGCGUCUGCUGUGAAAACUGGAGGCUCAACCUCCAGCCUGCAGUGGGUACGGGCAGACUAGAGUGCGGUAGGGGAGAUUGGAAUUCCUGGUGUAGCGGUGGAAUGCGCAGAUAUCAGGAGGAACACCGAUGGCGAAGGCAGAUCUCUGGGCCGUAACUGACGCUGAGGAGCGAAAGCGUGGGGAGCGAACAGGAUUAUAUACCUUGGUAGCCCACGCCGUAA
RNAcentral lists this ribosomal RNA (753 nucleotides) under Microbacteriaceae bacterium HPCKc-10. Its description in RNAcentral is "bacterial SSU rRNA". It matches the Rfam family "Bacterial small subunit ribosomal RNA", at positions 40 to 805 of the family's 1533-position model. The record is from RNAcentral. Lineage: Bacteria; Bacillati; Actinomycetota; Actinomycetes; Micrococcales; Microbacteriaceae.